AUACCAAAGAAAAUUAACUCUCUUCGUACUAGCUACAGGAGAGAAUUAAAAAAGGUGGUUCAAAGUGAGAAAUCUGGUGCUGCAACUGAAGACAUGUAUGUACCCUCCUUAUGGUUUUUCGGUGCUCUAAAUUUUCUCCGAGACCAGGAAAUUCAGGAAGAAGGGAUAUCUACAAUAGACAUUGAUGAAGAGGUACCAGGGACCUCUGGAUGUGACACACAAAAAUCCACAAAGAAAAGAAAAGUUGCUGCUGAGGGGAAAAAAAUAGAAUUACUAGAGUUAGCUUGUAAGCACCUUGAAAAGGACGAGGGUGUGGAUCCAUUAGGACAGAGCUGGGCAGAGGAAUUUAAAAAAUUAGAAGAAAACCAGCAAAUUUACGCUAGAAAAGAUAUUAAUGAUAUAUUAUAUGAGGGCCGACUCGGGAGACUCAACAUGAACUCGGUGAAAAUUAAUGAACCACAACUCUUACGAUCAGUACAAAAAUCAGAUCAUAUGAACACUGUAAGAGUAAUCACUCAUCCUGUUGUCAAGGAACAUAGGUCCAUAGAGGAUCUAUUAAAUGAUCCACAAUUUAGUUAAUAUGACUGAGUACCAGUAACUGAAAUAUAAGUAGCCUACAUAAUGUGAAAUUUAUUUCUCAUACAUUCAUGUAAUUAAUUACAUACACUAUGUUUUUAUGUAUAUACCGGUAAACAGUACUGUUAUAUUUUUGUUUAAACUCUCCCUCUCUCUCUCUUUCUCUAUCUCUCUUUCUCUCUCUCUCUCUGAUAUGCAAUGACAUUUGCUUACACCUGUGGUAAAUAUUAUUUUAAUUUCAUAAGCUGCUUCCUACAACUGUAAAAGAGCAAAUGAUAAAAUAAGCAUUCA
Macrobrachium nipponense is the source of this 867-nucleotide long non-coding RNA. RefSeq lists it as uncharacterized. Lineage: Eukaryota; Metazoa; Arthropoda; Malacostraca; Decapoda; Palaemonidae. The record is from RefSeq and is a predicted model, not a curated record. The transcript is spliced from 2 exons.